This is a small nuclear RNA of Hyaena hyaena (striped hyena), 105 nucleotides long. The record is from RefSeq and is a predicted model, not a curated record. NCBI's taxonomy places the organism in Eukaryota, Metazoa, Chordata, Mammalia, Carnivora, Hyaenidae.
GCUCACUUGGACAGAACAUAUGCUAAAAUUGGAAUAACACAGAGAAGAUUAGCAUGAGUCCUGAGCAAGCAUGAUACACAAAUUCAUGACGUGAUCAAACAUAAA